Molecule: ribosomal RNA, 407 nt
Filed under: uncultured bacterium
Lineage: Bacteria
Description: partial 16S ribosomal RNA
Rfam family: Bacterial small subunit ribosomal RNA
Source: RNAcentral
GACGAACGCUGGCGGCGUGCCUAAUACAUGCAAGUAGGACGCAGUUGCGAACGGGUGAGUAACGCGUAGGUAACUACCUAUUAGAGGGGGAUAACUAUUGGAAACGAUAGCUAAUACCGCAUACUAGUAGAUGGACCUGCGUUGUAUUAGCUAGUUGGUAGGGUAAUGGCCUACCUAGGCAACGAUACAUAGCCGACGUGGUGGGGUGAUGUGCCACAGUGGGACUGAGAAACGGCCCUGACGCCUACGGGAGGAAGCAGUAGGGGAUCUUGGGCAAUGGGGGGAACCCUGACCGAGCAACGCCGCGGGAGUGAAGAAGGUGUUCGGAUCGUAAAGCUCUGUUGUUAAGGAAGCGGUACUUAACCAGAAAGGGACGGCUAACUACGUGCCAGCAGCCGCGGGAAUUC